UAUACCGUGAAACUGCGAAUGGCUCAUUAAAUCAGUUAUCGUUUAUUUGAUAGUACCUUACUACUUGGAUAACCGUGGUAAUUCUAGAGCUAAUACAUGCUGAAAACCCCAACUUCGGGAGGGGUGUAUUUAUUAGAUAAAAAACCAACGCCCUUCGGGGCUUCUUGGUGAUUCAUGAUAACUUCACGGAUCGCAUGGCCUUGCGCCGGCGACGGUUCAUUCAAAUUUCUGCCCUAUCAACUUUCGAUGGUAAGGUAUUGGCUUACCAUGGUUUCAACGGGUAACGGGGAAUUAGGGUUCGAUUCCGGAGAGGGAGCCUGAGAAACGGCUACCACAUCCAAGGAAGGCAGCAGGCGCGCAAAUUACCCAAUCCCGACACGGGGAGGUAGUGACAAUAAAUACUGAUACAGGGCUCUUUUGGGUCUUGUAAUUGGAAUGAGUACAAUUUAAACCUCUUAACGAGGAACAAUUGGAGGGCAAGUCUGGUGCCAGCAGCCGCGGUAAUUCCAGCUCCAAUAGCGUAUAUUAAAGUUGUUGCAGUUAAAAAGCUCGUAGUUGAAACUUGGGCCUGGCUGGCAGGUCCGCCUCACCGCGUGUACUUGUCCGGCCGGGCCUUUCCUUCUGGAGAACCUCAUGCCCUUCACUGGGUGUGCUGGGGAACCAGGACUUUUACUUUGAAAAAAUUAGAGUGUUCAAAGCAGGCCUUUGCUCGAAUACGUUAGCAUGGAAUAAUAGAAUAGGACGUGCGGUCCUAUUUUGUUGGUUUCUAGGACCGCCGUAAUGAUUAAUAGGGACAGUCGGGGGCAUCAGUAUUCAAUUGUCAGAGGUGAAAUUCUUGGAUUUAUUGAAGACUAACUACUGCGAAAGCAUUUGCCAAGGAUGUUUUCAUUAAUCAGUGAACGAAAGUUAGGGGAUCGAAGACGAUCAGAUACCGUCGUAGUCUUAACCGUAAACUAUGCCGACUAGGGAUCGGGCGAUGUUCUUUUUCUGACUCGCUCGGCACCUUACGAGAAAUCAAAGUU
RNAcentral lists this ribosomal RNA (1022 nucleotides) under Leptosphaerulina australis. Its description in RNAcentral is "SSU rRNA". It matches the Rfam family "Eukaryotic small subunit ribosomal RNA", at positions 75 to 1105 of the family's 1831-position model. The record is from RNAcentral. Lineage: Eukaryota; Fungi; Ascomycota; Dothideomycetes; Pleosporales; Didymellaceae. RNAcentral also lists the same sequence under 1 other name.